UCUCCUGGAAACGGGUGGUAAUGCCGGAUGCUCCAUCACACCGCAUGGUGUGUUGGGAAAGCCUUUGCGGCAUGGGAUGGGGUCGCGUCCUAUCAGCUUGAUGGCGGGGUAACGGCCCACCAUGGCUUCGACGGGUAGCCGGCCUGAGAGGGCGACCGGCCACAUUGGGACUGAGAUACGGCCCAGACUCCUACGGGAGGCAGCAGUGGGGAAUAUUGCACAAUGGGCGCAAGCCUGAUGCAGCGACGCCGCGUGAGGGAUGGAGGCCUUCGGGUUGUAAACCUCUUUUGUUAGGGAGCAAGGCAUUUUGUGUUGAGUGUACCUUUCGAAUAAGCACCGGCUAACUACGUGCCAGCAGCCGCGGUAAUACGUAGGGUGCAAGCGUUAUCCGGAAUUAUUGGGCGUAAAGGGCUCGUAGGCGGUUCGUCGCGUCCGGUGUGAAAGUCCAUCGCUUAACGGUGGAUCCGCGCCGGGUACGGGCGGGCUUGAGUGCGGUAGGGGAGACUGGAAUUCCCGGUGUAACGGUGGAAUGUGUAGAUAUCGGAAAGAACACCA
This 555-nucleotide ribosomal RNA is filed under the name Bifidobacterium breve. RNAcentral describes it as "bacterial SSU rRNA". It matches the Rfam family "Bacterial small subunit ribosomal RNA", at positions 146 to 711 of the family's 1533-position model. The record is from RNAcentral. Lineage: Bacteria; Bacillati; Actinomycetota; Actinomycetes; Bifidobacteriales; Bifidobacteriaceae.